Molecule: non-coding RNA, 30 nt
Filed under: Rattus norvegicus (Norway rat)
Lineage: Eukaryota; Metazoa; Chordata; Mammalia; Rodentia; Muridae
Source: RNAcentral
UCUUUCUGUCUUAUACCAAAGUCUGGGUGA